AACGUAGGAGACAAACGUUAUCCGGAGUUACUGGGCGUAAAGGGCGUGUAGGCGGUUUCGUAAGUCUGGCGUGAAAUUUCCCGGCUUAACCGGGAGUGGUCGUCGGAUACUGCGGGACUAGAGGACGGUAGAGGCGUGUGGAAUUCCGGGUGUAGUGGUGAAAUGCGUAGAGAUCCGGAGGAACACCAGUGGCGAAGGCGACACGCUGGGCCGUACCUGACACUGAUGCGCGACAGCAUGGGGAGCAAACAGG
This 253-nucleotide ribosomal RNA is filed under the name uncultured bacterium. RNAcentral's name for it is "partial 16S ribosomal RNA". It matches the Rfam family "Bacterial small subunit ribosomal RNA", at positions 524 to 776 of the family's 1533-position model. The record is from RNAcentral.